RNAcentral lists this ribosomal RNA (1369 nucleotides) under Bacillus amyloliquefaciens. Its description in RNAcentral is "bacterial SSU rRNA". It matches the Rfam family "Bacterial small subunit ribosomal RNA", at positions 20 to 1372 of the family's 1533-position model. Lineage: Bacteria; Bacillati; Bacillota; Bacilli; Caryophanales; Bacillaceae. The record is from RNAcentral.
UGGCUCAGGACGAACGCUGGCGGCGUGCCUAAUACAUGCAAGUCGAGCGGACAGAUGGGAGCUUGCUCCCUGAUGUUAGCGGCGGACGGGUGAGUAACACGUGGGUAACCUGCCUGUAAGACUGGGAUAACUCCGGGAAACCGGGGCUAAUACCGGAUGGUUGUUUGAACCGCAUGGUUCAGACAUAAAAGGUGGCUUCGGCUACCACUUACAGAUGGACCCGCGGCGCAUUAGCUAGUUGGUGAGGUAACGGCUCACCAAGGCGACGAUGCGUAGCCGACCUGAGAGGGUGAUCGGCCACACUGGGACUGAGACACGGCCCAGACUCCUACGGGAGGCAGCAGUAGGGAAUCUUCCGCAAUGGACGAAAGUCUGACGGAGCAACGCCGCGUGAGUGAUGAAGGUUUUCGGAUCGUAAAGCUCUGUUGUUAGGGAAGAACAAGUGCCGUUCAAAUAGGGCGGCACCUUGACGGUACCUAACCAGAAAGCCACGGCUAACUACGUGCCAGCAGCCGCGGUAAUACGUAGGUGGCAAGCGUUGUCCGGAAUUAUUGGGCGUAAAGGGCUCGCAGGCGGUUUCUUAAGUCUGAUGUGAAAGCCCCCGGCUCAACCGGGGAGGGUCAUUGGAAACUGGGGAACUUGAGUGCAGAAGAGGAGAGUGGAAUUCCACGUGUAGCGGUGAAAUGCGUAGAGAUGUGGAGGAACACCAGUGGCGAAGGCGACUCUCUGGUCUGUAACUGACGCUGAGGAGCGAAAGCGUGGGGAGCGAACAGGAUUAGAUACCCUGGUAGUCCACGCCGUAAACGAUGAGUGCUAAGUGUUAGGGGGUUUCCGCCCCUUAGUGCUGCAGCUAACGCAUUAAGCACUCCGCCUGGGGAGUACGGUCGCAAGACUGAAACUCAAAGGAAUUGACGGGGGCCCGCACAAGCGGUGGAGCAUGUGGUUUAAUUCGAAGCAACGCGAAGAACCUUACCAGGUCUUGACAUCCUCUGACAAUCCUAGAGAUAGGACGUCCCCUUCGGGGGCAGAGUGACAGGUGGUGCAUGGUUGUCGUCAGCUCGUGUCGUGAGAUGUUGGGUUAAGUCCCGCAACGAGCGCAACCCUUGAUCUUAGUUGCCAGCAUUCAGUUGGGCACUCUAAGGUGACUGCCGGUGACAAACCGGAGGAAGGUGGGGAUGACGUCAAAUCAUCAUGCCCCUUAUGACCUGGGCUACACACGUGCUACAAUGGACAGAACAAAGGGCAGCGAAACCGCGAGGUUAAGCCAAUCCCACAAAUCUGUUCUCAGUUCGGAUCGCAGUCUGCAACUCGACUGCGUGAAGCUGGAAUCGCUAGUAAUCGCGGAUCAGCAUGCCGCGGUGAAUACGUU